Orbicella faveolata is the source of this 1144-nucleotide non-coding RNA. Lineage: Eukaryota; Metazoa; Cnidaria; Anthozoa; Scleractinia; Merulinidae. The record is from RefSeq and is a predicted model, not a curated record.
ACUAAAAACGAGGAGUGGAGUCAAAACAUAUUUUGCACAAGAAAAAUAUACACCAAAGUUGUAAAAUAUUAGUGUACUCGCAAUGGAUCCUAUGGAAGAAAAUGUUUUCUUAGAAGAGCAUAUGAAAUUAGCGUUCGGUGUUAUGAACGAUUUACGAAAAAGGAGAGAAUUAUGUGACAUCGUUCUUCGUGUCGAAGAACUCGAGAUCUAUGCUCAUAAGCUUGUCCUGGCCUCAUUCAGCCCAUACUUCUACGCAAUGUUUACAAAUGACGUCGUGGAAAGUCGCCAAAACAGUAUCACAUUGAAGUCGAUGGAUCCAAGAAGCGUUGAACUUUUGAUCGAAUUUGCUUACACAGCACAGAUUAAGAUUACUGAAGAAAAUGUACAAUAUUUGCUACCUGUGGCUUGUAUAUUACAAAUCUGUCCAGUCAAAAAGGCUUGUUGCGACUUUUUACAAUCACAGCUUGAUCCCUCGAACUGCAUUGGCAUUAAAGACUUCGCGGAGAUUUACGGUUGUGUUGAUUUAACCAAGGCAGCUGAAAAGUUUAUGUUUCGUCACUUUUUGCAAGUGUCAGAAAGCGAGGAGUUUGAAGACUUGUCCAGGGAGCGGUUGGUUGAUUUUAUUAGUCGUGAUGAACUUUUUGUCAAGUCGGAAGAUGAGGUGGGGUGCGCUGCACUAGAGUCUAUUUCUUGAUCAGUUCCUGUUACCAUUUCCUGUUAAUCUGAUUUUUCACAUGGUCAGAAGAAAAAAGUGCAGGACAAGUAACAUGUUGAAGCUGUUAAGCAAAUUUGUAGAGUAUUAUGUAUAAAACGUAACCUUCAUUUUAGAUUGCUCACAGUCUGUGGUUUCUCUUAGGAUUCAACAAGUGUUUAUUCCUGCAAUCUUUAACACAAUAGGGGAGGUAUAAAUUAGAUGGGGUUAGAACAAGCCUUGCCCUUGUCAGAUCUCAAUCCCUUCUUGUCUUAUAGCCCUCAUCUCUCAUUGAUGUUAGAGUGAAAAACUGUCACCUUUAUCUGGCAUGAAAGUAUGCAUGAUAUUUGUCUACAGACGUUGUCUGUUCUUGUCUGUUCCAGGAAGGAGACAGUUUUCUGAGAGAAUCCUGACUCCCUUUGGGGUUUGAGCCAGAAAAUUCCUGCCAGAUGU